Molecule: long non-coding RNA, 2812 nt
Organism: Oncorhynchus keta (chum salmon)
Lineage: Eukaryota; Metazoa; Chordata; Actinopteri; Salmoniformes; Salmonidae
Exons: 5
Source: RefSeq, a predicted model, not a curated record
CAGCGGACGGCAUGACUCGUGCAAGUGUGAUUGAGUGUUGUUUACAAAAUUGACAGUUCUCUCAUCUUCUCUAAGUUAUUGUAGGCUUUAUAACGCGUUUCAUAUUGUGAAUUUAGAGUAUUAACGUAACAGAAGAUAUGGGGGAAGCCAAAGAAAAAGAGUGCGCGUGUGGAAAUAUCCUCUACAUUUCAGAAAUGCUUCUCUCUGCUUGGGUUUGCUAAAUUAGCCAUGCUGCUAACUUACAAUUCAGCUAACUAGCAAGGGAAAAACUGCAUAUCUAUGUAAUCAACCAACCCUGUCUCCGUUUUUGUAGACUAAUAAAAAGUGAGAAUGCUAGGUAAGGAUUGACUAUCUAAAAGAGCUAGUUAUUGAUCUAUGUUGUUGCUAUGUGUCGGUAGCUAGCUAAUGCCAGCUGAUCUGAGCCGAGCUGGUGAUGAUGACGAGCAUUGCUGAUGUCAUCAAUCAGCUGGUCGAAGCGCAUGAAGAAGGAAAUGACGUCAACUUCGACAAGUGGCUGUAGUGGCUGUGACGUGAAAACCCCAUCGUUGUCCUCACAUCAGUUUCACAGGAAACAUCUGUGUGUGGUCCGGACUCUUUGAAUACUCCACAGUCUUACACAGGCUAUGAGGCCUUGGCUGAGGAGUACAGAGACUACUUUAUCAGGAACCUCCACGACGCCCUGUCAGGACACACCUCUAACUACGUAGCUGAGGCCGUCAGGUGCUCGGAACGCAGUAACACAGAAUUCUGGGUAAUAUCCUGAUGAAUGGAAUAGAGGGGUAACAAGACUCCUGUUGCAUUCUGGGUAAUAUGCUGAUGAAUGGCAUCGCCAUCGAGACGCCGUCCUGACUACUGUCUGAAGAGACACCUCAGUGACAUGCUGGGGUAUGGCUGUACCCGGCUGGAGAUAAGGGUUCAGAGCGUCUACGAUCACGUAGCACGGGACACCAACAGCCCCAACAGAUCCACAGAUGAUGCCAUCUCUAUUGAACUCCACACUGUCCUUUCACACCUGGAUAAAGGGAACACUUAUGUGAGAAUGCUAUUCAUUGACUACAGCUCAGCGUUCAACACCAUAGUGCCCUCAAAGCUCAUCAAUAAGCUAAGGAUCCUGGGACUAAACACCUCCCUCUGCAACUGGAUCCUGGACUUCUCGACGGGACGCCCCCAGGUGGUGAGGGGAGGCAACAACUCAUCCGCCACGCUGACCCUCAACAUAGCUUUAAGCACCAGCUGUCAGAGCAGAUCACUGCACCUGUAAAUAGCCCAUCUGUAAAUAGCCCAUCUGUAAACAGCCCAUCCAACAACCGGUCCGGCCUGUUGUCCGGACCUCUGGCAGUCUCUAUGGGGGUGCCACAGGGUUCAAUUCUCGGGCCGACUCUCUUCUCUGUAUACAUCAAUGAUGUCGCUCUUGCUGCGGGUGAGUCUCUGAUCCACCUCUACCCAGACGACACCAUUCUGUAUACUUCCGGCCCUUCUUUGGACACUGUGUUAACUAACCUCCAGACAAGCUUCAAUGCCAUACAACUCACCUUCCGUGGCCUCCACACUGCUCUUAAACGCAAAUAAAACUAAAUGCAUGCUCUUCAACCCAUCAUUGCCCGCACCUGCCUGCCCGCCCAGCAUCACUACUCUGGACGGUUCUGACUUAGAAUAUGUGGAUAACUACUAAUAUCUAGGUGUCUGGUUAGACUGUAAACUCUCCUUCCAGACUCACAUUAAGCAUCUCCAAUCAAAAAUAUUAUCUAGAAUCGGCUUCCUAUGUCGCAACAAACCUUCCUUCACUCAUGCUGCCAAACAUACCCUCAUAAAACGGUGAUGUCAUCUAUAAAAUAGCCUCCAACACUCUACUCAGCAAACUGGAUGCAGUCUAUCCCAGUGCAAUCCGUUUUGUCACCAAAGCCCCAUACACUACCCACCAUUGCGACCUGUACGCUCUCGUUGGUUGGCCCUCGCUUCAUACUCGUCGACAAACCCACUGGCUACAGGUUAUCUACAAGUCUCUGCUAGGUAAAGCCCCGCCCUAUCUCAGCUCGCUGGUCACCAUGGCAGCACCCACUCGUAGCACGCGCUCCAGCAGGUAUAUCUCACUAAUCACCCCCAAAGCCAAUUCCUCCUUUGGUCGCCUUUCCUUCCAGUUCUCUGCUGCCACUGACUGGAACGAACUGCAAAAAUCACUGAAGCUGGAGAUUCCCAUCUCCCUCACUAGCUUUAAGAACCAGCUGUCAGAGCAGCUCACAGAUCACUGCACCUGUUCAUAGCCCAUCUGUAUACAGCCCAUCUAUCUACCUCAUCCCCAUACUGUAUUUAUUUAUUUAGCUCCUUUUGCACCACAGUAACUCUACUUGCACAUCCAUCUUCUUCAUAUCUACCAUUUAAUUGCCAUAUUGCCACAUAAUUACUUCGCCACUAUGGCCUAUUUAUUGCCUUAACUCCCUUAUCUUACCUCAUUUACACUCACUCUAUAUGGACUUUGUUUUCUUUUUUUUAUACUCUAUUAUUGACUGUAUGUUUGUUUAUUCCAUGUGUAACUCUGUGUGGUUGUUUGUGUCGAACUGCUUUGCUUUAUCUUGGCCAGGUCGCAGUUGCAAAUGAGAACUUGUUCUGAACUAGCUUACCUGGUUAAAUAAAGGUGAAUUAAAAAAUAAAAUAAACUACCUCAUCCCCAUACUUUUUAAUGUAUUUAUUUAUCUUGCUCCUUUUCACCACAGUAUCUCUACUUGCACACUCAUCUUCUGCACAUCUAUCACCCCAGUGUUUAAUUGCUAAAUUGUAAUUACCUUGCCACCAUGGCCUAUUUAUUGCACUAACU